AGCGAACGCUGGCGGCAGGCUUAACACAUGCAAGUCGAGCGGACAUGCUCGGCGUGUCAGCGGCGGACGGGUGGGUAACGGGUGGGAACCUGCCCAUUGACCUGGACUAGCUCAGGGAAACUCUUGCUAAUACCGGGUAUAUUCCAGAGCAGGAGCGGUUGUCUGCGGGAGGGUCGGGGAGCGUCUGGUUGGCUGGGUGUUGAGGUUACGCCUCACCACGGGUUGGUUGAGUAGCUGGGUUGAGAGGAUGUUCCGCCACACUGGCACUGAGACACGGCCCAGAAUCCUAGGCGAGGCAGGAGUGGGGAAUAUUGGACAAUGGGGGCAACCCUGAUCCAGCCAUGCCGGGUGAGUGAUGACGGCCGUAGGGUUGUACAGUUCUUUUCUACGGGGCGAUAAUGACGGUACCGGAUGAAUAAGCACCGGCUAACUUCGUG
Molecule: ribosomal RNA, 437 nt
Filed under: uncultured bacterium
Lineage: Bacteria
Description: partial 16S ribosomal RNA
Rfam family: Bacterial small subunit ribosomal RNA
Source: RNAcentral